This is an RNA transcript of Oryza brachyantha (malo sina), 2017 nucleotides long. RefSeq lists it as uncharacterized. Lineage: Eukaryota; Viridiplantae; Streptophyta; Magnoliopsida; Poales; Poaceae. The record is from RefSeq and is marked validated. The transcript is spliced from 12 exons.
UGCUCGGUGUGGCACUCGCACCACACGCUCUCGCCUCGCGACGCCACCGCCAUGGCGGCGACCUCGCCGCCGAUCAGGUCGCUUUUCCUCACCCCUUCUCCAGCGCUCAGCCGUAUCUCCUUUCCUUCCUACCGCCCACACCGCCGCACUGCUCCUCCUCCCGCUCGGUGCCGCCGGACGAAGCCGCCCGUGCUAGACGAGGAGCGGCUCCAGAGGGAGACUUCACCGGACGCCAAGGCCGAUAGGAACGAUGGACGAGAGAAGAUGCGCGGGUGGUUCACGCUUGAUGACAUUGGAAUGGAUAUCCUCACCAUCGCCUUGCCUGCUGUGCUCGCCCUCGCCGCCGACCCCAUUACGGCGCUCAUCGAUACCGCCUUCGUUGGUCAUGUUGGCUCGGCUGAACUUGCUGCCGUUGGAGCAUCCAUUUCUAUCUUCAAUUUGGUAUCCAAGCUGCUCAAUGUGCCAUUGCUCAACGUCACCACAUCCUUUGUUGCCGAGCAGCAGGCAGUGGAUGCCGAUCAUAAUAGCUCAAUACAAAAAGAUGAGAUUUCGAGCCCACAAGAAAAGGCAGGUGAACAAAGGAAGUUUCUUCCAGCUGUCUCAACAUCCUUGGCUCUAGCUGUUGGCAUCGGAUUGAUGGAAACGGUGACACUGAUCCUUGGGUCUGGGACACUAAUGGACAUCGUCGGUAUAACUGUUGAUUCACCAAUGCGUAUACCAGCAGAACAAUUUCUUAUUUUAAGGGCAUAUGGUGCACCACCAGUCAUCGUAGCACUUGCAGCACAGGGUACUUUUCGUGGAUUCAUGGAUACAAAGACACCGUUGUUUGCUGUGGUUGCUGGUAACCUAGUGAAUGCAUUGCUGGAUGCUAUAUUUAUUUUUCCACUUGGUCUAGGCGUAAGUGGCGCUGCAUUGGCAACAGUGACUUCUGAGUAUUUGACAGCGUUCAUCCUCCUCUGGAAGCUAAAUAGCAGAAUGGUUCUGUUCUCAUGGCAUGUCAUUGCUGGAGACAUCGUCCGUUACCUAAAAUCUGGUGCACUGCUAAUUGCAAGAACCAUAGCAGUAGUCCUGACAUUCACAGUGUCAACAUCCCUGGCUUCCAGGGAAGGGCCUGUUCCAAUGGCUGGCUAUGAGAUAUGUUUGCAGGUGUGGUUAACAAUUUCUCUGCUCAAUGAUGCACUCGCUCUUGCUGGUCAGGCUCUACUCGCGAAUGAAUAUGCAAAAGGAAACUAUAAGAAAGCCCGUGUUGUCUUAUACAGAGUUCUGCAGGUUGGAGGUGUAACUGGCGUAACACUUGCUACAGCCUUAUUCCUUGGGUUUGGAUAUUUGUCCAUGCUGUUUACAGAUGAUCCGGCAGUAUUAGACGUUGCUCGAACUGGAGUCUGGUUUGUCACUGUUUCUCAACCGAUAAAUGCUGUUGCUUUUGUGGCUGAUGGGCUCUACUAUGGUGUUUCUGACUUUAGUUUCGCGGCAUACUCUACGGUUCAGAUUAUUGGCGGGGGCUGUCUCAUCAGCAGUAAUGCUUGUGGUCGCUCCUAAGUUUGGUCUUGGUGGCGUCUGGGCUGGUCUUACUCUAUUUAUGAGUUUGCGAGCAAUUGCUGGGUUCUGGAGGUUAGGGAGCAAAGGCGGACCAUGGAAAAUAAUCUGGUCUGAAACUGAAUAAAGUUAAAGGAUGUAAUGAUGUAUGCUCAAUAAUUCGAUUAAUCUCCCACAGUAACAUUAAGGAGAAAGACAGAUAACUGCUGGUCAAUCCAGUGAAAGAUUUUUUUUUUUCGUUAGGAGAUGACAGACAGGGUACUCUUGUAGUGAUUUGGUUAGAAGUAGGUGUAAUACUUGUUGCUGGCUCUUGAUAGAUAGUAUUGUAGCCCUAUUUAUUUGGAUUGCUAUAGGAAAUUGGUUCAACUUGUACAGUACUGUUUAUAGAAUAGAUGCCCUGUAUACAAGAAAACUGAAAGCUGAUGCAUAGAGACACAUUCAGAGCCAUCCAUGUAAUGUAAAUGAGAGACAUUUGGUGGAA